CGGCGGACGGGUGAGUAACGCGUGGGUAACCUACCCUGUACACACGGAUAACAUACCGAAAGGUAUGCUAAUACGGGAUAAUAUAUUUGAGAGGCAUCUCUUGAAAUAUCAAAGGUGAGCCAGUACAGGAUGGACCCGCGUCUGAUUAGCUAGUUGGUAAGGUAACGGCUUACCAAGGCGACGAUCAGUAGCCGACCUGAGAGGGUGAUCGGCCACAUUGGAACUGAGACACGGUCCAA
This 239-nucleotide ribosomal RNA is filed under the name uncultured bacterium. Its description in RNAcentral is "partial 16S ribosomal RNA". It matches the Rfam family "Bacterial small subunit ribosomal RNA", at positions 96 to 334 of the family's 1533-position model. The record is from RNAcentral.